UACGGAGGUGGCAAGCGUUGUCCGGAAUUAUUGGGCGUAAAGCGCGCGCAGGCGGUUUUUUAAGUCUGAUGUGAAAGCCCACGGCUCAACCGUGGAGGGUCAUUGGAAACUGGGGAACUUGAGUGCAGAAGAGAAGAGCGGAAUUCCACGUGUAGCGGUGAAAUGCGUAGAGAUGUGGAGGAACACCAGUGGCGAAGGCGGCUCUUUGGUCUGUAACUGACGCUGAGGCGCGAAAGCGUGGGGAGCAAACAGG
RNAcentral lists this ribosomal RNA (253 nucleotides) under uncultured bacterium. RNAcentral describes it as "partial 16S ribosomal RNA". It matches the Rfam family "Bacterial small subunit ribosomal RNA", at positions 524 to 776 of the family's 1533-position model. The record is from RNAcentral.